This 107-nucleotide small nuclear RNA is filed under the name Castor canadensis (American beaver). Lineage: Eukaryota; Metazoa; Chordata; Mammalia; Rodentia; Castoridae. The record is from RNAcentral.
CUCUACAACUGUGGUACACAUGUACUAAAACUGGAAUGACACAGAGAAGAUUAGCGUGGCCCCUGCACAAGGAUGACACACAAGUUUGUGAAACAUUCCAUAUUUUU